RNAcentral lists this ribosomal RNA (548 nucleotides) under uncultured bacterium. Its description in RNAcentral is "partial 16S ribosomal RNA". It matches the Rfam family "Bacterial small subunit ribosomal RNA", at positions 355 to 895 of the family's 1533-position model. The record is from RNAcentral.
UGGGGAAUUUUGGACAAUGGGGGAAACCCUGAUCCAGCCAUCCCGCGUGUGCGAUGAAGGCCUUCGGGUUGUAAAGCACUUUUGGCAGGAAAGAAACGUCGCGGGUUAAUACCCCGCGAAACUGACGGUACCUGCAGAAUAAGCACCGGCUAACUACGUGCCAGCAGCCGCGGUAAUACGUAGGGUGCAAGCGUUAAUCGGAAUUACUGGGCGUAAAGCGUGCGCAGGCGGUUCGGAAAGAAAGAUGUGAAAUCCCAGAGCUUAACUUUGGAACUGCAUUUUUUAACUACCGGGCUAGAGUGUGUCAGAGGGAGGUGGAAUUCCGCGUGUAGCAGUGAAAUGCGUAGAUAUGCGGAGGAACACCGAUGGCGAAGGCAGCCUCCUGGGAUAACACUGACGCUCAUGCACGAAAGCGUGGGGAGCAAACAGGAUUAGAUACCCUGGUAGUCCACGCCCUAAACGAUGUCAACUAGCUGUUGGGGCCUUCGGGCCUUGGUAGCGCAGCUAACGCGUGAAGUUGACCGCCUGGGGAGUACGGUCGCAAGAUU